Molecule: ribosomal RNA, 1680 nt
Filed under: Triticum aestivum (bread wheat)
Lineage: Eukaryota; Viridiplantae; Streptophyta; Magnoliopsida; Poales; Poaceae
Description: partial small subunit ribosomal RNA
Source: RNAcentral
AUGGAGGCCAGGGCGGCGUCGGCGGCGAGCGCGAGGGGCGUGGCGGCGCUCCUCGUCGCCGCCCUCCUGCUCGGCGCCCCCGUCUCCGCCUCGGCCGCGUCCUCGUACCCCGCAAAGGUUCUGGGCGGGCUCCUGACCAGCACGGCGACGGCGGUGGCCAAGAAGCUCUGGUCGCUCAAAUCGACCGCCAGGACGGCGACGGCGGCGGCGGCGUCCGGGAGGUCGAUGGUGAAGUACGAGGGCGGGUACGCGGUGGAGACGGUGUUCGACGGCAGCAGUCUGGGGAUCGAGCCGCACUCCGUCGAGCUCACCCCCGCCGGCGACCUGCUCCUGCUCGACUCCAUGAACAGCAACCUCUAUAGGGUCCAGCUGCCCUUGUCCCGAUAUAGCAGGCCGAAGCUUGUCGCUGGUUCGCUUGAAGGAUUAUCUGGUCAUGUUGAUGGUAGGCUCCGAGAGGCCAAGCUGAACCACCCUAAGGGAUUUACAGUCGACGACAGGGGCAACAUUUAUGUUGCAGACGCUAUGAACAUGGCGAUAAGAAAGAUCAGUGAUACAGGGGUCACAACCAUUGCUGGGGGAAAAUCAAUGAGAGGUGGACACAUGGAUGGACCCAGCGACGAUGCAAAAUUUUCAACAGAUUUUGAAAUCCGCUAUGUCAGCAGCAGCUGCUCCCUCUUGGUCAUUGACAGAGGAAACCAGGCAAUUCGGGAGAUUCCGCUCCAGCCUGAUGACUGUGAAUAUCAGGAUGAAGCUGGUUUCCCUCUAGGUGUUGCCUUGCUUUUUGCUGCUGGUUUCUUUGGUUACAUGCUUGCGUUGCUCCAGCGCCGUGUUUUAGGAAUGGUCUCAGCAACAGAGGAACCUCAGACGCCUCCAAGACCCAGCAAUGCAAGCAUCCCUCCGUACCAGCCAUACCAACCAUACCAGCAGCCAUUCAAGCCUUCGUUUGGCCCGCCGCUGAUCCCAAAUGAAGACGAAGCUGAAGAGGGAUUCUUCACCUCAGUGGGCAAGCUCAUGGGAGGAGCAAAAUCAUCCGUGGCAGACAUGUUCUCCCGAAAGAAGCGCCCCGCAAGACAGCACCAUCAGCAGCACCAGCAGAGAAGGGCUAGUCCUUGGCCAGUGCAAGAAAGCUACGCCAUCCCGCACGGGGAAACGCCUCCACCGCUGGACUCGAGAGGGCCAACCCCUCAGAAGAACUACGCCUUCGUGACGACGGAGCCUGAGAAGGCUCACCACGUCCGCCACGGGCAGCCUUAUCUCGGCGGCUGGGACGCACGCGGUCCUCAACCGCCGCCAGAGCAGCAGCAAGUGUAUCCCCACCACCACCAGCAGCAGCUGCAGCAGCACAGACAGCAGCUGGAGCAACAGGUGUACCGGCAGCAGCACAGGCAACCGCCGGAGCAGCAGGCGUACCACCUGCAGCAGCAGCACCAGCAGAGGCGGCAGCCGGAGCAGCAGAUGUACCAGCUGCAGCAGCACAGGCAGUACUCCUCCGGGCCGCAGACGUUCUACGAGCAGAGCUGCGAGACGACGAACGAGGUGGUGUUCGGCGCGGUGCAGGAGGUGGACAGCAAGCGGCGCAUGGUGGAGAUCAAGGCCGUCAACUACGGCGACACCUUCUACGAGCAGUACGGGAUGCGCUACCGCAACAACUACAUCGGCUACAACAGCAACAACUACUGA